This 1012-nucleotide ribosomal RNA is filed under the name uncultured organism. RNAcentral's name for it is "bacterial SSU rRNA". It matches the Rfam family "Bacterial small subunit ribosomal RNA", at positions 444 to 1435 of the family's 1533-position model. The record is from RNAcentral.
GAAGAAAAAGACCGAGAAUAAUAAGUUCGGUAAUUGACGGUACCUCACAAGCAAGCUCCGGCUAACUUCGUGCCAGCAGCCGCGGUAAUACGAGGGGAGCAAGCGUUGUCCGAAAUAACUGGGCGUAAAGGGUACGUAGGCUUUUUUGUAUGUUUCCGGUGAAAUUCACAGGCUCAACUUGUGACUUGCCGGAAAAACUGCAGAGAUUGAAUCCGGAAGGGGAAAGCGGAAUUCCUGGUGUAGCGGUGAAAUGCGUAGAUAUCAGGAGGAACACCAGUGGCGAAGGCGGCUUUCUGGUCCGGAAUUGACGCUGAGGUACUAAAGCGUGGGUAGCAAACAGGAUUAGAUACCCUGGUAGUCCACGCCCUAAACGAUGGAUACUUGAUGUCGGGAUGUUCGGUCGUCUCGGUGUCGUAGCUAACGUGUUAAGUAUCCCGCCUGGGGACUACGGUCGCAAGACUGAAACUCAAAGGAAUUGACGGGGGCCCGCACCAGCGGUGGAACAUGUGGUUUAAUUCGAUGCAACGCGAAGAACCUUACCUGGGCUUGACAUAUAUAUGAAGUAUGUAAGAAAUUAUGUAUUCUGUCUGCAUUUGCAGGUAGCAUAUAUACAGGUGAUGCAUGGCUGUCGUCAGCUCGUGUCGUGAGAUGUAGGGUUAAGUCCCUUAACGAGCGCAACCCUUGCUUUUAGUUGCCAUCGGGUAAUGCUGGGGACUCUAGAAGGACUGCCGAGGUUAACUCGGAGGAAGGUGGGGAUGACGUCAAGUCAGUAUGUCCCUUAUGUCCAGGGCUACACACGUGUUACAAUGGACGGUACAGAGUGCAGCUACGCCGUGAGGCUACGCAAAUCACUUAAAGCCGUUCCCAGUUCGGAUUGGAGUCUGCAAUUCGACUCCAUGAAGUUGGAAUCGCUAGUAAUCGCAGAACAGCAUGCUGCGGUGAAUACGUUCCCGGGCCUUGUACACACCGCCCGUCACGCCAUGGAAGUUGGGAGUACCCAAAGCUGCUGUCU